GACGAACGCUGGCGGCGUGCUUAACACAUGCAAGUCGAACGUGAUUUUUAUGGAAAUUCUUUCGGGAAUGGAAAUGAAAUGAAAGUGGCGAACGGGUGAGUAACACGUGAGCAGCCUACCUUACACAGGGGGAUAGCCGUUGGAAACGACGAUUAAUACCGCAUGAGACCACAGAAUCGCAUGAUAUAGGGGUCAAAGAUUUAUCGGUGUAAGAAGGGCUCGCGUCUGAUUAGCUAGUUGGAAGGGUAAAGGCCUACCAAGGCGACGAUCAGUAGCCGGUCUGAGAGGAUGAACGGCCACAUUGGAACUGAGACACGGUCCAAACUCCUACGGGAGGCAGCAGUGGGGAAUAUUGCACAAUGGGGGGAACCCUGAUGCAGCGACGCCGCGUGAGCGAAGAAGGUUUUCGAAUCGUAAAGCUCUGUCCUAUGAGAAGAUAAUGACGGUAUCAUAGGAGGAAGCCCCGGCUAAAUACGUGCCAGCAGCCGCGGUAAUACGUAUGGGGCGAGCGUUGUCCGGAAUUAUUGGGCGUAAAGGGUACGUAGGCGGUUUUUUAAGUCAGGUGUGAAAGCGUGAGGCUUAACCUCAUUAAGCACUUGAAACUGGAAGACUUGAGUGAAGGAGAGGAAAGUGGAAUUCCUAGUGUAGCGGUGAAAUGCGUAGAUAUUAGGAGGAAUACCGGUGGCGAAGGCGACUUUCUGGACUUUUACUGACGCUCAGGUACGAAAGCGUGGGGAGCAAACAGG
RNAcentral lists this ribosomal RNA (746 nucleotides) under uncultured Parvimonas sp. RNAcentral describes it as "bacterial SSU rRNA". It matches the Rfam family "Bacterial small subunit ribosomal RNA", at positions 28 to 776 of the family's 1533-position model. The record is from RNAcentral. Lineage: Bacteria; Bacillati; Bacillota; Tissierellia; Tissierellales; Peptoniphilaceae.